This 301-nucleotide ribosomal RNA is filed under the name uncultured bacterium. RNAcentral's name for it is "partial 16S ribosomal RNA". It matches the Rfam family "Bacterial small subunit ribosomal RNA", at positions 509 to 809 of the family's 1533-position model. The record is from RNAcentral.
CAGCAGCCGCGGUAAUACGGAGGGUGCAAGCGUUAAUCGGAAUUACUGGGCGUAAAGCGCACGCAGGCGGUCUGACAAGUCAGAUGUGAAAUCCCCGGGCUUAACCUGGGAACUGCAUUUGAAACUGUCAGGCUGGAGUCUUGUAGAGGGGGGUGGAAUUCCAGGUGUAGCGGUGAAAUGCGUAGAGAUCUGGAGGAAUACCGGUGGCGAAGGCGGCCCCCUGGACAAAGACUGACGCUCAGGUGCGAAAGCGUGGGGAGCAAACAGGAUUAGAUACCCCGGUAGUCCCUGUCUCUUAUAU